GUGCUCGCUUCGGCAGCACUUGUCUUAAAACUGAAAAGUACAGAUAAGACUAGCAUGGCCCUGCACAAGGAUGACACACAAAUUCGUGGGCUGUUCUAAGAAAUA
RNAcentral lists this small nuclear RNA (105 nucleotides) under Carlito syrichta (Philippine tarsier). The record is from RNAcentral. Lineage: Eukaryota; Metazoa; Chordata; Mammalia; Primates; Tarsiidae.